GUAAAAGGCUGCUGCAUGUUGAAACUGGCCAAAGAUUCUCCGGGCCCAAAGCCGAAGUGCAAGUGGAAGGAAGAUCUCUGAAAACAGCUCUUCUCUAGAUGACCUGGAAAUAGGCCCAGGUCAAUUGUCAUCUUCUACAUUUGACUCGGAGAAAAAUGAGAGUAGGCGAAAUCUGGAACUUCCACGCCUCUCAGAAACCUCUAUAAAGGAUCGAAUGGCCAAGUACCAGGCAGCUGUGUCCAAACAAAGCAGCUCAACCAACUAUACAGCCGGGCAUUUAUAUAUGUAUGAAUGAGCUGAAAGCCAGUGGUGGCGAAAUCAAAAUUCAUAAAAUGGAGCAAAAGGAGAAUGUGCCCCCAGGUCCUGAGGUCUGCAUCACCCAUCAGGAAGGGGAAAAGAUUUCUGCAAAUGAGAAUAGCCUGGCAGUCCGUUCCACCCCUGCUGAAGAUGACUCCCGUGACUCCCAGGUUAAGAGUGAGGUUCAACAGCCUGUCCAUCCCAAGCCACUAAGUCCAGAUUCCAGAGCCUCCAGUCUUUCUGAAAGUUCUCCUCCCAAAGCAAUAAAG
This 566-nucleotide small RNA is filed under the name Pan troglodytes (chimpanzee). Its description in RNAcentral is "processed transcript". Lineage: Eukaryota; Metazoa; Chordata; Mammalia; Primates; Hominidae. The record is from RNAcentral.